CUUCGCGUUGGGUUUACGGGCGAUAAUACCAUUCCCCACUGCAUGCAACAGGUGCGUUUUACCCAAGCCAGUGCCGCCAUA
This 81-nucleotide antisense RNA is filed under the name Pectobacterium atrosepticum SCRI1043. Its description in RNAcentral is "antisense RNA of dnaA mRNA". It matches the Rfam family "antisense RNA of dnaA mRNA". Lineage: Bacteria; Pseudomonadati; Pseudomonadota; Gammaproteobacteria; Enterobacterales; Pectobacteriaceae. The record is from Rfam by way of RNAcentral.